UAACUCAAUGAUUUUUUGUUUAGCAAAAGGUAUACUUAGACCAACGCCCUAAACUCCACAGAGACACCAUCCCACAUUAAUUCUCCAGGUUGCAGCUGCAUGAUCUUGCUAAAGAAGUGCUUCUGUAGACCUGUGGAUUCCGCAGAGAAUUGUUCAUCUCCCUGUCUUUGAUGUCACUCUCCUAAUUCUUCUGUGCGCUUGAUUUUUCAAGGCUCUAUUCCAUGGACUUCAAAUCACCAACAAGGAGAACACCGUAGUUUCAACUACAACAGUUUGAUGAAUCAACCCCUUAUCCCAUCCCAUUUGCUUGAUCCAGGAAUCUGAAAAAUGUUCAUGCAUCAGAAAAGGUGGCAGGCGACGCGAGAAGAUAUGCCCUCAGGAAAUGGUAGCCGUGCAAGAUGGGUGACUGUCCAUCAGCAGCAAGCAGGAUUCCCUCUGUGGAGUGCAG
Molecule: long non-coding RNA, 448 nt
Filed under: Struthio camelus australis
Lineage: Eukaryota; Metazoa; Chordata; Aves; Struthioniformes; Struthionidae
Description: lncRNA (ENSSCUG00000011341.1)
Source: RNAcentral